GGUACACGCUGUGACUAGCAUAUCAAUAAGCGGAGGAAAAGAAACUAACAAGGAUUCCCCUAGUAACGGCGAGUGAAGCGGGAAGAGCUCAAAUUUGAAAUCUUAAAGGGUUUCCCUUUACGAAUUGUAGUUUAAAGGAAGUGUUUUCUGUUGAGGUUUUGGUAAAAGUUCUUUGGAAUAGGACAUCAUAGAGGGUGAGAAUCCCGUAUUUGACCUUUACUUUCAACUUUGUGAUACACUUUCAAAGAGUCGGAUUGUUUGGGAAUGCAGUCCAAAAUGGGUGGUAAAUUUCAUCUAAGGCUAAAUAUUGGCGAGAGACCGAUAGCGAACAAGUACCGUGAGGGAAAGAUGAAAAGAACUUUGAAAAGAGAGUUAAACAGUACGUGAAAUUGUCAAAAGGGAAGCGUUUGACACCAGUGUUGUUUUUCUGAAAAUCAAUUAAAGAACUGUUUAUGCUAAGUUGUUUAGACUUUAUCAGCUAACUGUUUAGUUUUGAGCUUUUCUUUAAUGCACUUUUCAGUUAACAAGUCAACAUCAAUUUCUUUUGCUGUAAAAAAGCUUGAGGAAGGUGGCUUGAGAUUCGUCUUAAGUGUUUAUAGCCUCUUGCCUAUGCAGUCGGAGAGAUUGAGGUCUGCAGCGUAGAUCCUUCGGGGCUAAAUGCAUUUGUGCUAAGUUAUAACAUUUUAUAGACAACUUGUUGACUAUGAUUUGUCUUGUAGCUUACUCGCUUAUGUUAUUUUACCUACGCUUAGGAUGUUGACAGCAGUAUAGACUGU
Molecule: ribosomal RNA, 776 nt
Filed under: uncultured Neocallimastigales
Lineage: Eukaryota; Fungi; Neocallimastigomycota; Neocallimastigomycetes; Neocallimastigales
Description: partial large subunit ribosomal RNA
Rfam family: Eukaryotic large subunit ribosomal RNA
Source: RNAcentral